Molecule: ribosomal RNA, 37 nt
Filed under: Osmorhiza berteroi
Lineage: Eukaryota; Viridiplantae; Streptophyta; Magnoliopsida; Apiales; Apiaceae
Description: partial 26S ribosomal RNA
Source: RNAcentral
UUGUGACCCCAGGUCCCGCUGAGUUUAAGCAUAUCAA